AUUAGCCUAGUUUAUAAAAAAUAAUAGCUUGUCAGGCUUUAGAAACAAAAUUUGUGGUUAAUG
Molecule: transfer RNA, 63 nt
Filed under: Tritonia iocasica
Lineage: Eukaryota; Metazoa; Mollusca; Gastropoda; Nudibranchia; Tritoniidae
Description: tRNA-Asp
Source: RNAcentral